Molecule: non-coding RNA, 72 nt
Organism: Phrynosoma platyrhinos (Desert horned lizard)
Lineage: Eukaryota; Metazoa; Chordata; Lepidosauria; Squamata; Phrynosomatidae
Source: the annotation of a GenBank genome assembly
GCCAGUGUGGUAUAGUGGUUUGAGCAUCUGACUAUGACUCAGAAGGCCAGGGUUUGAAUCCCAGCUCAGUGA